GUGCCAGCAGCCGCGGUAAUACAGAGGGUGCAAGCGUUACUCGGAAUUACUGGGCGUAAAGCGCGCGUAGGCGGAUCGCUAAGUCAGGGGUGAAAUCCCAGGGCUCAACCCUGGAACUGCCUUUGAUACUGACGGUCUGGAGAUCGGGAGAGGUUGGUGGAAUUCCGAGUGUAGAGGUGAAAUUCGUAGAUAUUCGGAGGAACACCAGAAGCGAAGGCGGCCAACUGGCCCGAUACUGACGCUGAGGCGCGAAAGCGUGGGGAGCAAACAGGAUUAGAUACCCCGGUAGUCCUAGCCGUAAACGGUGAUCACUAGGUGUUGGAGGCAUCGACCCCUCCAGUGCCGCAGCUAACGCAUUAAGUGAUCCGCCUGGGGAGUACGGCCGCAAGGUUGAAACUCAAAGGAAUUGACGG
This 413-nucleotide ribosomal RNA is filed under the name uncultured bacterium. Its description in RNAcentral is "bacterial SSU rRNA". It matches the Rfam family "Bacterial small subunit ribosomal RNA", at positions 505 to 916 of the family's 1533-position model. The record is from RNAcentral.